CGUAGGGUGCAAGCGUUAAUCGGAAUUACUGGGCGUAAAGCGUGCGCAGGCGGUUUGUAAGUCUGAUGUGAAAUCCCCCGGGCUCAACCUGGGAAUUGCAUUGGAGACUGCAAGGCUAGAAUCUGGCAGAGGGGGGUAGAAUUCCACGUGUAGCAGUGAAAUGCGUAGAUAUGUGGAGGAACACCGAUGGCGAAGGCAGCCCCCUGGGUCAAGAUUGACGCUCAUGCACGAAAGCGUGGGGAGCAAACAGGAUUAGAUACCCUGGUAGUCCACGCCCUAAACGAUGUCUACUAGUUGUCGGGUCUUAAUUGACUUGGUAACGCAGCUAACGCGUGAAGUAGACCGCCUGGGGAGUACGGUCGCAAGAUUA
This 370-nucleotide ribosomal RNA is filed under the name uncultured organism. RNAcentral's name for it is "bacterial SSU rRNA". It matches the Rfam family "Bacterial small subunit ribosomal RNA", at positions 526 to 896 of the family's 1533-position model. The record is from RNAcentral.